Molecule: ribosomal RNA, 930 nt
Filed under: bacterium 124
Lineage: Bacteria
Description: bacterial SSU rRNA
Rfam family: Bacterial small subunit ribosomal RNA
Source: RNAcentral
UUUUGUAUAUGUUUGUUUUCCCCCGUCAGAUGAACGCUGGCGGCGUGCCUAAUACAUGCAAGUCGAGCGAACAGACGAGGAGCUUGCUCCUCUGACGUUAGCGGCGGACGGGUGAGUAACACGUGGAUAACCUACCUAUAAGACUGGGAUAACUUCGGGAAACCGGAGCUAAUACCGGAUAACAUGUUGAACCGCAUGGUUCAACAGUGAAAGACGGUCUUGCUGUCACUUAUAGAUGGAUCCGCGCCGCAUUAGCUAGUUGGUAAGGUAACGGCUUACCAAGGCAACGAUGCGUAGCCGACCUGAGAGGGUGAUCGGCCACACUGGAACUGAGACACGGUCCAGACUCCUACGGGAGGCAGCAGUAGGGAAUCUUCCGCAAUGGGCGAAAGCCUGACGGAGCAACGCCGCGUGAGUGAAGAAGGUCUUCGGAUCGUAAAACUCUGUUAUUAGGGAAGAACAAAUGUGUAAGUAACUAUGCACGUCUUGACGGUACCUAAUCAGAAAGCCACGGCUAACUACGUGCCAGCAGCCGCGGUAAUACGUAGGUGGCAAGCGUUAUCCGGAAUUAUUGGGCGUAAAGCGCGCGUAGGCGGUUUUUUAAGUCUGAUGUGAAAGCCCACGGCUCAACCGUGGAGGGUCAUUGGAAACUGGAAAACUUGAGUGCAGAAGAGGAAAGUGGAAUUCCAUGUGUAGCGGUGAAAUGCGCAGAGAUAUGGAGGAACACCAGUGGCGAAGGCGACUUUCUGGUCUGUAACUGACGCUGAUGUGCGAAAGCGUGGGGAUCAAACAGGAUUAGAUACCCUGGUAGUCCACGCCGUAAACGAUGAGUGCUAAGUGUUAGGGGGGUUUCCGCCCCUUAGUGCUGCAGCUAACGCAUUAAGCACUCCGCCCGGGGGAGUACGACCGCAAGGUUGAACUCAGAGAGAU